Molecule: unclassified non-coding RNA, 346 nt
Filed under: soil metagenome
Description: partial contains 5.8S ribosomal RNA, internal transcribed spacer 2, and large subunit ribosomal RNA
Rfam family: 5.8S ribosomal RNA (bases 5-121)
Source: RNAcentral
GAUGGAAGAACGCAGCGAAAUGCGAUACGUAAUGUGAAUUGCAGAAUUCAGUGAAUCAUCGAGUCUUUGAACGCACAUUGCGCCCCCUGGUAUUCCGGGGGGCAUGCCUGUCCGAGCGUCAUUGCUGCCCUCAAGCACGGCUUGUGUGUUGGGCCUCCGUCCUCCUCCCGGGGGACGGGCCCGAAAGGCAGCGGCGGCACCGCGUCCGGUCCUCGAGCGUAUGGGGCUUCGUCACCCGCUCUUGUAGGCCCGGCCGGCGCUUGCCGACACAUCAAUCUUUUUUCCAGGUUGACCUCGGAUCAGGUAGGGAUACCCGCUGAACUUAAGCAUAUCAAUAAGCGGAGGA